UCUCACCCCGUCUGGCACCCAGACACACUCGCGUUCUCACACACUUGUGUCUGCACUGCUCAAGGAGAAAGAUAGAGACUGCACAUGAAGGAGAGGGAGAGAGAGCGAGAGCGAGAGCAUGAGAGAGGGGCUGACAUCUAUGUAGUUGAGCCACACCACUGGAGAGCAUGGUGAGAGUCAACGGGAGACGGAAGAAAGGAGUAACAAUGCUCUUUCAGGAUGCACAACGUUGGCACGACGUCGAGCCGCAGCCGGCUCCGCAGAAGCUUAUGAUUACAUCUAACCAUAAUAAACAUCCCGGUAGAGAGGAGCGUUACAUGUCGCGUUGACUGGCUCCACACACAAAAUAAACAAGACGGGCCAAACGCAAAAGUGAGACAUCACACAGCCAGCGUUUGAGGUGAUGUGUUGGACAGUGUGCGUCAUCACAUGGGAAGGGAAGGGAAGGGAAGGGAAAGGGAAGGAAUGAGCCCAUAGGCAGGAACAGCUGCGGGUUCGAAGCUCGGAAAAGCGAUGGAAAAGAUGAAAAGGCAAAGAAAAUAGCACAGAAUGAGAGAGGAUGAGAGAUUUUUUUUAGCCACUGGCGGCAGUUAUUUCUACUCAGAGUUGCAUGACUUACAUUUUUUCUUAGCCGACACUAAUGCGACGAAGGUUCAGUGAUCGUCAACUAGUCGCUGAUGGAGUCAUUGAUAUUUUUUCAGGACAGUAUUAUAGUUUAAAAAAACUCACAGGAGGAGGGAUUGCUUUGCAAUAAUCUAUAUUCACCGACAAUGGAGAUCUUAUACACUUAAUUUACGCAGCACGUACAUGUUAGUACACGAGCAUUGACAUGGUCUGGGUGAAAGCCAGCCUGUUGCUGCUGGGACAGCAAGGUAACAUUUGCACAACUUGGCCAAAUGGGGGAAACCUGUCCUCGGUCUCGGCCCACUACAGGAGCCGGUUCUGCAUGGUGGGAAUUUGUGGUGAUUUUCCCGCUCUCAUUCCACUUUGAUAGCGUGGAGUGAAAAAUUGUGCAAAAUCCUGCUCAAGCCUUCCUUAUUUCCCCAAUUGCUGGUUCCCCCCACACUUGCCAAAGCUGCACAUUCAGAAAUCGAAAAUUUAAAUCAACUAAGGGGACUCUCUAAUUUCAUUUAGCGCAUUCCAAGUCACAAACGUGAUUAAUGACUAGUCGACGUCACACUUUAAACAUCAUUGUGGAGUACUGAAAUAGUCAACUAGUAGUCCCUAAUUGUUACCAGUGGGUUUCAAUUCAAAGAGCGUUACAUUUGUAUCAAAUGGUAUCUUCCAUCACAACUGAUCCUGAUCACAACUUGUCCUUUUUUUUUAACAUUUAGCGUUAUAAACGAAAAAGGAACAUACAGUAAGUAUUGGAGCAAAACAGACUUGCUUUGGGCUUUGCAUCAAAUAAAACAGUAGGUAGCUAUUAUACUAUUUUGGGACUGUGUUUCCAGACUGUUAUGCCUGCAGUUUCUGCAGGAGAUUGGUGAUAAGAGUGCCCACUGUGUCCCAAGUGCUGCCCUCCACAUCCCAGCAGACAGGCUUUAGCUUAUUUAGAGUCCGGAGUUUCCCCAAAAGUGUCCUGCUGACUCAUACGUUGUACAAGCACCUCUUAUUGAACGCGGAUCAUCAGAAUGUGGAUGUUAGAUGUUUAGAAUUACCUUGUCUUUUUGCUUACAGUAACAGAAAAUGAAUAGCAUGAAAUUACCACGUUGCUACGUACGUGAGGCAACGAUGAAAGAGCAAACCUGACUGGUGCGCACAUCUAUUAGAGGGAGUGCCACUUGACUGGCCAGUUCCUUCUAACCAAAUUCUCCAUUCUGUCAUUGAAAAGCUAUUUUUAUAAGAGGCCACGGGAAGUCUGGGAGUUGACAAGAAACACACACACACACAAGGACGCAGGGCCGAGGCAAGGGCAGUGGGCAAUGGGGACUAUUAUGGUGUGUUGUAGAUAUGGCGACGAUGCUUCCCGUCCCAACCCUUCUCUGUUGACCAGGGGAAUUCCUGGCAGAGUGAUUUUGGAGACUUAAGACUGAAUCACAUUGCCAGGGAUUUCCAAUGGCUGGCAUGAGGAACGCAACACACUCACACACACCUUUCGUUUUGCACACUCGCACACAAACACACCCACCGAUGACUGUACUGUACUUGGCUGUGCGGUGGCAGGACUUAGCACACAUGUGAACACUGAAAGUGUGCCAUGUUCACAGUGGUUAAGUUCUGUCACCACGGGGCUGCAAACUGCAGGGGAUCAAGGUCACAGAUUGCCAUCGCUUUUCAUCAGCAGAGACCCACGGAAGGACACCCAUUGAAAUGAAGGAUUUCAUAUUAUGAGCAAAUUGUCUUUUAAUAACAUGCAUUAUAUUGGUUAUUUGUAAUUAAUUUGUGCAGCAUGUCCCGCAUGUCAUGGAAGUGUCAUUCCAGGAUCUGCUCUGCAUGCACACCAAUAUUAUGCUGGUGGAAUAGUCUCAUUUCCAUUCCCAUAAACAUGUGUUGUGUGGUUUCCUACACAAUGAAAAGGGGGCAUGAAAGUAAUGCUUUGUAUUUACUGCCAAAAAUGACUCCACUGCUACGAUUUGUUUUUGUAUAAAGGCCUCCCCCAAUAUACCCCUGCUUCCAUCUGCAGUUGAAUAACUACCCCAUCACACGCCACACCACUAAGUCCCGCCUCUAUAUUAAUAUCUAACACACAGACACUCCAAUAUCUACAGUAUUUUCUAUAAAUUUUAUGCUUGCAAUUUUAACAUGUUCAAAUACAUUUACAAUCUGUUCUAAAUAAGUGCGUAUAAAUAUGGUUAAAUGUGUUCAACAAAUGUGGGAGGGUUAAAGCUAUUUUAAAAUGUUUUUAUAUGGCGUCUCCACUGGAUUUUCACCCAUUGCGAGUGAGUCUGGAACGUAUCCCACCCAAUGAACGGGGCUUCACUGUACAGGAAAAGUGGUGUGUUUCCAUGAUAAUAUGUAUUAACCUCUAAAUCACUUUAAACUAUAGCAAAAUAUAGCAUUGUUGUUGCAAAAUUAUCUCUUAAGUUUAUGAAAUGUGUUUACUGAAUGUUUUGAGUGUCUCACUACUGGCUGCAUGUUGCUGUAAAAUUGUACAGUUCUAGCAUAACUUUUUUUUAACAACUCCCUAUACUAAAUACUCAAAAGAAACAGAAAAGUAUUUUUCCUAUUCAUUGUACUUGUGCCAGUGUUGCGUGCAUGUGACGCAUGACUCACGAUUGUGUUAUGACAAUGUCAGGGUGAUGUGCUGCGCCCAGCUCAUGAGAGCAGGUAUAACGACGUCUGCUCAUAACUGCUAAUCUGUUGAAAACACGAAAUGUCAUCAGCUCCUUCUUCACUCUCAAAAGGACAUGUGUGAAACUUUGGGAUUACAUUUAUUUAUUCGUUCAUUCAUUUAUUUAGAUUUUGCUUUGGCAGUGGAUUUUUGCAUGACAAAAUUGGGCCAAAUAGUUUGACCUAAAAAUAUAUGUAUAUACUGUAUGUGUGUCAGUAUAGACAGUACACCCUACUGGGCCGGUCUCCUGUGCCUGCUGUGCUGAUAAUCAGUGUGUGACGUCGGCUGGCUCAGUUCAGCAGGAACAGGGGCCUGUGGUCUCAUUUACACUCAUUUCAUUAUACCUUUAUACCUAAAAUAUAUGCAUAUGUAUGAUAUAAAUGACUGACAUUUUGACAUAUUCAAGUUAUGCAUUAAUAUGGCAAAAUGAGGUGAGUUUUUUUCUGUACACACACAUCUAUAUAUAUAUUAAAUAUAUGCCUGAUUAAAUGUAUGUGAUUUGGAAUUUUAAAUAAAAAAAAUUGUAUUUUUUUUUUUUUUUA
Molecule: long non-coding RNA, 3813 nt
Organism: Phyllopteryx taeniolatus (common seadragon)
Lineage: Eukaryota; Metazoa; Chordata; Actinopteri; Syngnathiformes; Syngnathidae
Exons: 2
Source: RefSeq, a predicted model, not a curated record